AGAAAAAUGUCAAAGAUAGAGAAACGUGGCGUUAAACAUCAGCAAUAAAUCAAAAUCAAUACUAUAUCAUAAAGAAUAUCGACAAUCUUUUGUGGAAUACGAGAUAUAUCCUUUGUUGUAUUGAGAACUAUUUCCUCAUUAUAUUUGUCUCAAAAUCUCAUACAUCUUCGCCAUAUAUUAAUUCUUUUAAAAAAUGAUAAUUACGCAUUUUGUCUCGGUCAAGGAUUUUUAUAGUAAGUAAAUCUUUAUAUACAGGUGGAGACCGUCAAAAGUUUUGUUCAUACAUGAAGAGUGUACUUUUUUUUACGGAGAUUGAGAUAUAACUUAAAAACAGAUGUACAAAUUAAUGUUUAAUAUGCCUACCAAAAUAAUCCCCCCUCCCCCCCAAAAAAAAAGAAAACACAAAAAAAAACCACAAUUGCACACAGGCUGAGAC
Molecule: long non-coding RNA, 436 nt
Filed under: Mytilus galloprovincialis (Mediterranean mussel)
Lineage: Eukaryota; Metazoa; Mollusca; Bivalvia; Mytilida; Mytilidae
Source: RNAcentral